This 385-nucleotide ribosomal RNA is filed under the name uncultured bacterium. Its description in RNAcentral is "bacterial SSU rRNA". It matches the Rfam family "Bacterial small subunit ribosomal RNA", at positions 30 to 414 of the family's 1533-position model. The record is from RNAcentral.
AUUGAACGCUGGCGGCGUGCUUAACACAUGCAAGUCGUGCGGUAACAGGCGUAGCAAUACGUGCUGACGAGCGGCGAACGGGUGCGUAAUACAUGGGAAUCUGCCCUUUAGUGGGGAAUAACCCGGCGAAAGCCGGGCUAAUGCCGCAUAAGAUCUUCGGAUGAAAGCGGGGGAGUCGUAAGACCUCGCGCUGAUGGAUGAGCCCAUGUCGGAUUAGCAGUUGGUGAGGUAAUGGCUCACCAAGGCGACGAUCCGUAGCUGGUCUGAGAGGACGGCCAGCCACACUGGGACUGAGACACGGCCCAGACUCCUACGGGAGGCAGCAGUGGGGAAUAUUGGACAAUGGGGAAACCCUGAUCCAGCGACGCCGCGUGUGUGAAGAAGG